Molecule: ribosomal RNA, 540 nt
Filed under: Bifidobacterium pseudocatenulatum
Lineage: Bacteria; Bacillati; Actinomycetota; Actinomycetes; Bifidobacteriales; Bifidobacteriaceae
Description: bacterial SSU rRNA
Rfam family: Bacterial small subunit ribosomal RNA
Source: RNAcentral
UUCUCCUGGAAACGGGUGGUAAUGCCGGAUGCUCCGACUCCUCGCAUGGGGUGUCGGGAAAGAUUUCAUCGGUAUGGGAUGGGGUCGCGUCCUAUCAGGUAGUCGGCGGGGUAACGGCCCACCGAGCCUACGACGGGUAGCCGGCCUGAGAGGGCGACCGGCCACAUUGGGACUGAGAUACGGCCCAGACUCCUACGGGAGGCAGCAGUGGGGAAUAUUGCACAAUGGGCGCAAGCCUGAUGCAGCGACGCCGCGUGCGGGAUGACGGCCUUCGGGUUGUAAACCGCUUUUGAUCGGGAGCAAGCCUUCGGGUGAGUGUACCUUUCGAAUAAGCACCGGCUAACUACGUGCCAGCAGCCGCGGUAAUACGUAGGGUGCAAGCGUUAUCCGGAAUUAUUGGGCGUAAAGGGCUCGUAGGCGGUUCGUCGCGUCCGGUGUGAAAGUCCAUCGCUUAACGGUGGAUCUGCGCCGGGUACGGGCGGGCUGGAGUGCGGUAGGGGAGACUGGAAUUCCCGGUGUAACGGUGGAAUGUGUAGAUAU